GACGAACCGAGCGAACGUUGUUCGGAAUAACUGGGCUUAAAGGGCGCGUAGGCGGGCCGCCAAGUUCGAGGUGAAAUCCUCCGGCUCAACCGGAGAACUGCCUCGAAUACUGGAGGCCUCGAGGGUGGUAGGGGCACGCGGAACUGUGGGUGGAGCGGUGAAAUGCGUUGAUAUCCACAGGAACUCCGGUGGCGAAGGCGGCGUGCUGGACCACAUCUGACGCUGAGGCGCGAAAGCCAGGGGAGCAAACGGGAUUAGAAACCCCCGUAGUCC
RNAcentral lists this ribosomal RNA (273 nucleotides) under uncultured bacterium. RNAcentral describes it as "partial 16S ribosomal RNA". It matches the Rfam family "Bacterial small subunit ribosomal RNA", at positions 524 to 796 of the family's 1533-position model. The record is from RNAcentral.